GUUGUGGCUCAGUGGUAGAGCACUUGCCUAGCAUGCAUGAGACACUGAGUUCAAUCCCUGGCGCAACA
Molecule: transfer RNA, 68 nt
Filed under: Ictidomys tridecemlineatus (thirteen-lined ground squirrel)
Lineage: Eukaryota; Metazoa; Chordata; Mammalia; Rodentia; Sciuridae
Description: Spermophilus tridecemlineatus (thirteen-lined ground squirrel) tRNA
Rfam family: tRNA
About the family: Transfer RNA (tRNA) molecules are approximately 80 nucleotides in length. Their secondary structure includes four short double-helical elements and three loops (D, anti-codon, and T loops). Further hydrogen bonds mediate the characteristic L-shaped molecular structure. tRNAs have two regions of fundamental functional importance: the anti-codon, which is responsible for specific mRNA codon recognition, and the 3' end, to which the tRNAs corresponding amino acid is attached (by aminoacyl-tRNA synthetases). tRNAs cope with the degeneracy of the genetic code in two manners: having more than one tRNA (with a specific anti-codon) for a particular amino acid; and 'wobble' base-pairing, i.e. permitting non-standard base-pairing at the 3rd anti-codon position.
Source: Rfam by way of RNAcentral